This 486-nucleotide ribosomal RNA is filed under the name Conticribra weissflogii. Its description in RNAcentral is "partial Eukaryotic large subunit ribosomal RNA". It matches the Rfam family "Eukaryotic large subunit ribosomal RNA", at positions 170 to 670 of the family's 3401-position model. The record is from RNAcentral. Lineage: Eukaryota; Bacillariophyta; Thalassiosirophyceae; Thalassiosirales; Thalassiosiraceae.
CCGGACCGCAUACAAGUCUGUUGGAAUACAGCGUCAUAGUGGUGAGAACCCCGUAACUGAUGCGGAUGCCCGGUGCUUUGUGAUACACUUUCGAAGAGUCGAGUUGUUUGGGAAUGCAGCUCUAAAUGGGAGGUACAUUUCUUCUAAAGCUAAAUAUUGGCCAGAGACCGAUAGCGCACAAGUAGAGUGAUCGAAAGAUGAAAAGCACUUUGGAAAGAGAGUCAAACAGCACGUGAAAUUGUUAAAAGGGAAGCGCUUGCAGCCAGACUUGCUUACAGUUGCUCAUCCGGGCUUUUGCCCGGUGCACUCUUCUGUAGGCAGGCCAGCAUCAGUUUGGGCGGUAGGAUAAAGGUCUCUGUCACGUACCUCCUUUCGGGGAGGCCUUAUAGGGGAGACGACAUACUACCAGCCUGGACUGAGGUCCGCGCAUCUGCUAGGAUGCUGGCGUAAUGGCUGUAAGCGGCCCGUCUUGGAACACGGACCAAG